This is a long non-coding RNA of Dama dama (fallow deer), 1549 nucleotides long. RefSeq lists it as uncharacterized. The record is from RefSeq and is a predicted model, not a curated record. Lineage: Eukaryota; Metazoa; Chordata; Mammalia; Artiodactyla; Cervidae. The transcript is spliced from 3 exons.
CGGCUGGCAGGUUCAGAAUUGAACCUGGAGUGACAGAUGGCUCCUGCCUCUUGGUUUGGAAAGAUCACGUGUGUGUGCCCUUCUAUCUCUGGCCCCAUCUUUAUCACCGAGGUGCCCAGACAGUUGUGCACCGAGCCACCUGGAACGCUCACCCAGGCUUGGGGAUGAUGCUGAGCUGGGUAGAAAGUGCAUGUCCGUGGGCAGCAGGUUAGACCAGAGUUGGGUUUCAGCUUGGUCCCAGCACCAACCAUUUCCUGUUUGAUGCCCUAGGGACCUGUGGGAUUUGGUUUCCCACCCUCAGCUCUCCGUGGAGGGUGUCUCCACUCUGGCUGUGUUGCUCAUAAUCCUGUCUGGUGUGUUAGAGAAGAACUUGAAGGGGGGAACCUGGAUUCAGAUUACAGCUCCUCUCUUUGCUGGCAAUGUGACCUUGGGUGCUUAUUUAACUUCUUUGACCAGGCUCUCCCCUCUUUGGGAUUGCACGCCCCCCACCCCCUGCAAAACAAACGAACAAAACCCAAACAAACUUCCCUGAACUGUUGUAAGGAUUAAAGACUGCUGUGAAUGAAAGUGUCUGUAAAAGUUUGAAUGACCUGGGAGGGUUUUUAGGUCUUCUUCCAACAUGACUAGAUUUGUGACUUGGUAAGGUUUUUGAGCCCUAAUGGGUAUGAUAGCAAACAUAAUAGAAGUUAUUUUCCUUCUUAUAGGUUUAUUGGGAGGGUUGAAUCAGAUUUUGUAAAAGGACUUUGAAAAUGAAACAGCACUGCUCACACUGAGAGGAGUUCCUAAACUUUGUUUCCUGACUAGCAGCAUUUUACUGUUUGCCAUGUGAUGUGGACUUUCUUCUGAGCUCCUGCCCCUGACCUUGCACAUAUUUAGUAAACUUGAGGAUAAUGUUACAACAGCCAGCCUCUUCAAAUAUAUGAUCACAUGACCUUUGGUUUUGACAAUGAACCCUGAUCUGUUUAAUUCACCUGUAUUUGGUGUAUCCAAAUGGAGGCUACCUGCACUGUUGAGAAGUUCAAAGUUUUAGUGAAGAGAGAGAAAAUAAUCGCAUAUGUAUCAGUCUGGGUGCCUCUGAACUACAUACAAUACCAAAUGAUGUGCAGCUGGUUAAAGAAAGGAUUUGACAUGUGUUUUAUGAAGGACUGCGUGGCUUCAUUAUUCAUGGAGAAGCAGUUUUAAUUAUGUAUUUGUUAAUAGUGCACCUGAAAUAGAAGAGGGUGGAACACAGUGGAAGGUGAGCUCUUAAAAUCUCUGUUUGGGCUUCUGGUCCAGUGUUCUAGGAAGGACUGCUCCCAGCCUCGCCUGGGUGAUGGUGAGAAGCACUGUAAAUCUCUUUGAAGACUAACAGGGGCAGUGACCUCUCAGGCAGCCACUCACAUCCUUGGGAACGUCUUUUGGCUCCCGGAUCUCAAUAGGAAAAGGAUUCUACUGAUCCUUCUAAAGCCGGACUUUGCCAAGUGGCUCAGUGAUAGAGAAUCUGACUGCUGACAGAGGAGACACGGGUUCGAUCUCUGGGUCAGGAAGGUCCCCUGAGAAGGAAAUGGCA